AACCAGGUAGCUCAGUCGGUAGAGCAGAGGACUGAAAAUCCUCGUGUCGGUGGUUCAAUUCUUCCCCUGGGAACCA
RNAcentral lists this transfer RNA (76 nucleotides) under Candidatus Pelagibacter sp. RNAcentral describes it as "tRNA-Phe". The stretch from base 3 to 70 matches the Rfam family "tRNA". From Rfam's summary of the family: Transfer RNA (tRNA) molecules are approximately 80 nucleotides in length. Their secondary structure includes four short double-helical elements and three loops (D, anti-codon, and T loops). Lineage: Bacteria; Pseudomonadati; Pseudomonadota; Alphaproteobacteria; Candidatus Pelagibacterales; Candidatus Pelagibacteraceae. The record is from RNAcentral.